RNAcentral lists this ribosomal RNA (367 nucleotides) under Netuma thalassina (giant seacatfish). Its description in RNAcentral is "partial 12S ribosomal RNA". It matches the Rfam family "Bacterial small subunit ribosomal RNA", at positions 966 to 1533 of the family's 1533-position model. The record is from RNAcentral. Lineage: Eukaryota; Metazoa; Chordata; Actinopteri; Siluriformes; Ariidae.
UCACCACUCCUUGUUUUCCCCGCCUAUAUACCGCCGUCCGUCAGCUUACCCUGUGAAGGUCUAACAGUAAGCAAAAUGGGUCCACCCAAAAACGUCAGGUCGAGGUGUAGCGUACGAAGUGGAAAGAAAUGGGCUACAUUUUCUGCAACAGAAUACUACGAACGAUACUCUGAAACUAGUGUCCAAAGGUGGAUUUAGUAGUAAAAAACAAAUAGAGAGUCUUUUUGAAUUAGGCUCUGAGGCGCGCACACACCGCCCGUCACUCUCCCCUAUCCCACUCAAACCUAACAUUCCUAAUAACACAAACCCCGCUACGGGGAGGCAAGUCGUAACAUGGUAAGUGUACCGGAAGGUGCACUUGGAAUAA